UCCGGUGGUGGCGUGCUGCACUUGGCUCCCACGGUGCUGCCGGCAAUGGCCAGCCUUCCGCAUAUGUGGUGGCUGCCGGCGGCGCUACGGUCCGCGGCAUGGUGGUGGCGAUCUAGAUCCGAUCGGUCGGAUGGUGGUGACUGCAAAAUGCAGGGACUUUCUAUAGCUCCACGACGACGGUGAUCAACGAAAGAUUUUGGGGGGUUCAUCCCGCUUGAUCCGGUUGUUGAUUUCGGCGGUGAGAUACAAAUUAUGGACGAUGAUUUGACGCAGAGGGAUGGUUGUACAGUGGCGGCGGUCGAAUCGCAUGUAGCCACUGAGAUUGCGGAAAAGUGGUGGCGACAACACAUGACUGACUUCGAUGGUGGUGCUACUCGAGCACCUGGUCUUGAGCUUCGGGGCGAAAUCCUAUGUCAGCCGAGAGUGGUUAUGCCUGGCAAUGGUGAUGUUUUUUUACGUCGUUACCUUGUUGAAGGCAUUGCUCGAAUAUGCUCAGACUGCUUCUUCAGGGUGAAAACCUAGAUUCUGACUUUAUGAUUGGAUCCGGUGACGACGACACUUGAGUGUCCCUCCCUUUCUGAAGGCGUUGUUGUUGAAGAACCUCGUCGUCCAUGUGAUGUCAUGAGAUAGUUGGUGCCGAUAUGGUUAUUGUUGUAGUUUGUCGAUCGCACAUCAGAUCGCUUUGGGAUUUUUUUUCUCGCCUACGCAUAGCUUUGGUCUUAUAUGACUUUGCUAGUUGUGGACGUGUUUUUUACGUGCGUGUGUGGUGUUGGCUGUGUGCAUCCUAGCUAUGCAAAGGCCGGGUGUAUGCUCACUGUGUUAUAUAUCUUCUUGAUGCUUCAUUUUGAGUCAAUAAAAUUCACCCUUUAUCAAAAAAACAUUGGCACAGCGUCUUUCCGUGCAGCCGGGCAUCAGUGCUGCUUCCUUGGUGACGACUGACGUGCCAUUGCUGCCGCGCUCUGCCUCCACGCUUCGUCGCGGCGAUUCUCACCGGGAGGUAUGCACACAUAUAUUUCAUCCCCAAGAUUGCAUAUGUGAUUUGCUUAUUUGAUCAACUUCGGUCUGCAGGAGUUUAAGCACCUCUUUUUAGAGAUGGAUAGGCUAAUCAAUAGCUUUAUAAUUGUAUAAUCAGUAAGAACGGUUACUUGAAAAGGCUUAGGCAGUCUGCUCUAACAAGGAAGUGCAAAACUGAUUUCGCAAAAGAAGUAGAGGCGAUGGCCAG
Molecule: long non-coding RNA, 1222 nt
Filed under: Triticum aestivum (bread wheat)
Lineage: Eukaryota; Viridiplantae; Streptophyta; Magnoliopsida; Poales; Poaceae
Description: long non-coding RNA (TAES_LNC004152)
Source: RNAcentral